Molecule: ribosomal RNA, 476 nt
Filed under: uncultured bacterium
Lineage: Bacteria
Description: bacterial SSU rRNA
Rfam family: Bacterial small subunit ribosomal RNA
Source: RNAcentral
GGCUCAGGACGAACGCUGGCGGCGUGCUUCAUACAUGCAAGUCGAACGAGAAGCUGACUUCGGUCAGUGGAAAGUGGCGGACGGGUGAGUAAUAUGUAGAGAAUCUGCCCUUGAGUGGGGACAACAGAGGAAACUUCUGCUAAUACCCCAUAUGAGCUAACUUGAAAUAGUUAUCUUGAAAACUCCGGUGCUCAAGGAUGAGUCUGCAUCUGAUUAGCUAGUUGGCGGUGUAAUGGACCACCAAGGCGACGAUCAGUAGCUGGUUUGAGAGGAUGAUCAGCCACAAUGGGACUGAGACACGGCCCAUACUCCUACGGGAGGCAGCAGUAGGGAAUUUUGCGCAAUGGGCGAAAGCCUGAACCGCAGCAACGCCGCGUGAACGAUUAAGCCCUUCGGGGUGUAAAGUUCUGUCAGUAGGGACGAAUUUUGACGGUACCUACAGAGGAAGCACCGGCUAACUCCGUGCCAGCAGCUGC